UACAAUUUCACAUUUAACAAACUUAGAAAAAGAUUUGAAAAAUCAGGUGAUAAAUGACAAUAAUAUAUUACAUAUAUUUAUAAGAUAAAUAACAAUAACAACACAAAUUCUCUCUCUGCACAAAAUAUUCCAAUCUACCAUUCCUACCCCCAAUCCGAUGGAUAUCUGUUUAUAAAAAUUCUCCAAUCAACCAUACCCACCCUCACUCUCUCUCUCCCUCUCUCCAAAAUUGUUUAUGAGAAUCUUCACUAUAAGGAGUUGAAUGAUGGAGCUCUCAUUUGCAAGAUAUAGUUGCACACUUUUACUCCCUGACUAGUGCCUAACCUUGAUUUGGAUUUGGAGAAGCAGAAGCUGAAUGUUCAAUAUGGUCUCGAAUUUAAAUUUGGCUCUGUGUUGAUGUGGACAGAAAAAUCAGCUAAGGAUAGUGGAAUUUUAUUCAUGGACCAAACAUUAUCGCAUAAAUAAAAGCAUGAAAAAUUAUUACAGAUUCAAGCAAUCAUAUUAUGUAAUGAAAAAAAAUAAAAUUAAAAGAAAUAUAUAAAAGGCAAAAUCAUAUACCCAUUAUACCACUAUCAUAACCAAAAAUCAAUCAUCCCAUGACUGCUGCCAUUAGUGUUAUAACCACAUGCCGUGUGAGUUUUCUGAGGUACUUUGCAAGAUCGUCAUCUCGACCACCGUGGCUAAUAGCAAUAGUAGCAAAUCCCAUCUCCGACCCUCGCAAAUAAUAGCAAUAACCACCAUUUUUCAUCUUCCUUCAAUUUAGAUUGGGGAUUUUGGCGCCGAUUUUGCCACCUUUCAUGGUUGUUUCGGUGCUCGGUGUUGGACUAGGGUUUNNNNN
This 838-nucleotide long non-coding RNA is filed under the name Olea europaea (common olive). RNAcentral describes it as "long non-coding RNA (OEUR_LNC003379)". The record is from RNAcentral. Lineage: Eukaryota; Viridiplantae; Streptophyta; Magnoliopsida; Lamiales; Oleaceae.